This 129-nucleotide ribosomal RNA is filed under the name uncultured bacterium. Its description in RNAcentral is "partial 16S ribosomal RNA". It matches the Rfam family "Bacterial small subunit ribosomal RNA", at positions 1373 to 1500 of the family's 1533-position model. The record is from RNAcentral.
CCCGGGCCUUGUACACACCGCCCGUCACACCAUGGGAGUUGGUUUUACCCGAAGCCGGUGCGCGAACCGCAAGGACGCAGCCGACCACGGUAAGGUCAGCGACUGGGGUGAAGUCGUAAACAAGGUACC